Molecule: ribosomal RNA, 452 nt
Filed under: uncultured bacterium
Lineage: Bacteria
Description: SSU rRNA
Rfam family: Bacterial small subunit ribosomal RNA
Source: RNAcentral
AGAACGAACGCUGGCGGCAUGCCUAACACAUGCAAGUCGAACGAGACCUUCGGGUCUAGUGGCGCACGGGUGCGUAACGCGUGGGAAUCUGCCCUUAGGUACGGAAUAACUCAGGGAAACUUGUGCUAAUACCGUAUGAUGUCGAGAGACCAAAGAUUUAUCGCCUAGGGAUGAGCCCGCGUAGGAUUAGCUAGUUGGUGGGGUAAAGGCCUACCAAGGCUACGAUCCUUAGCUGGUCUGAGAGGAUGAUCAGCCACACUGGGACUGAGACACGGCCCAGACUCCUACGGGAGGCAGCAGUGGGGAAUAUUGGACAAUGGGCGAAAGCCUGAUGCAGCGACGCCGCGUGAGGGAUGACGGCCUUCGGGUUGUAAACCUCUUUCAGCGAGGGACGAAGCGAAAGUGACGGUACCUGCAGAAGAAGCACCGGCCAACUACGCGCCAGCAGCCGC